RNAcentral lists this ribosomal RNA (253 nucleotides) under uncultured bacterium. RNAcentral's name for it is "partial 16S ribosomal RNA". It matches the Rfam family "Bacterial small subunit ribosomal RNA", at positions 524 to 776 of the family's 1533-position model. The record is from RNAcentral.
UACGUAGGGACCGAGCGUUGUCCGGAUUCAUUGGGCGUAAAGAGCUCGUAGGCGGCUGUUCAAGUCGAACGUGAAAACUCGGAGCUCAACUCCGAGCCUGCGUUCGAUACUGGACGGCUAGAGUCUGGUAGGGGGAUCUGGAAUUCCUGGUGUAGCGGUGGAAUGCGCAGAUAUCGGGAGGAACACCAAUGGCGAAGGCAGCUCGCUGGGACGGUACUGACGCUGAGGCGCGAAAGCGUGGGGAGCAAACAGG